CUGAAGAACUGUAAUGUCAUUAAUUUGGUGUUGCAGGGAAACAGGACUGUUACUUUGAAAAAAUUAGAGUGUUUAAAGCAGGCUAACGCUUGAAUACAUUAGCAUGGAAUAAUGAAAUAGGACGUUCGAUCCUAUUUUGUUGGUUUCUAGGAUUGACGUAAUGAUUAAUAGGGAUAGUUGGGGGCAUUAGUAUUCAAUUGUCAGAGGUGAAAUUCUUGGAUUUAUUGAAGACUAACUACUGCGAAAGCAUUUGCCAAGGAUGUUUUCAUUAAUCAAGAACGAAAGUUAGGGGAUCGAAGACGAUCAGAUACCGUCGUAGUCUUAACCAUAAACUAUGCCGACUAGGGAUCGGAUGAUGUUAAUUUUUUAAUGACUCAUUCGGCGCCUUACG
RNAcentral lists this ribosomal RNA (391 nucleotides) under uncultured Glomeromycotina. RNAcentral's name for it is "SSU rRNA". It matches the Rfam family "Eukaryotic small subunit ribosomal RNA", at positions 703 to 1092 of the family's 1831-position model. Lineage: Eukaryota; Fungi; Glomeromycota. The record is from RNAcentral.